GCGCUCGGGGGGCGCGGCCCGGGCUCAGGCGCCGGCGGUACCGGGAGCCCGAGUGAGAAGGGAGCAGGAGGGCAGCGUCAUACCCGGGCACCUUCCCGCUGGAGGACAGUCGGAAACCAGAUCCAGAGCCCACAGCCUCGGGCAGUGCUUUCUACUAAAGAAAAUGUCGAAUGAAAAGUAUUAUGUUAAUAAAGAUAUAAAUAUAUAAAUUAUAUAUAAAUAUAUAAAUUAAUUAAUUGCGAUGACUAUUGCAACCGAGAAUGGCUCUGCAGAGCACUCCAUCCCUUGUCCUCCCAGCUGUGCUUUCCCCGGCCUUGAAGUGUGAAGGACGGCCCCGUGCCCAGCGCACAGUGUGCCCGGUGCGGAUCGCUGUCCCCCACCUGCGGGCACUGCUUGGCCUCUUGAACGAAUCGGCAUCGGAAGGGAAAGGUCGUGUGUUUCCAGCAUGUGAGAACAGGCACAGAUUUUCUAGUCAUCUAAGGACCAAGUCACCUAUUUGGUGUUCCUAGUUGAGCAAUAAGAG
This 523-nucleotide long non-coding RNA is filed under the name Manacus vitellinus (golden-collared manakin). Its description in RNAcentral is "lncRNA (ENSMVIG00005002521.1)". The record is from RNAcentral. Lineage: Eukaryota; Metazoa; Chordata; Aves; Passeriformes; Pipridae.